GUCUAAGGGUAGAAUCCCUCAAAACUCAGCGCCCGACCCCGAUCGAACCCUCAUUCUGCGCUGGCUACUUCCCCUAUUUCUCCUCUCCGGCUUCCGUCUUCCUCCUCUCCGGCACUGCCCUAGUCAACCGUCUUCCUCCUCUCCGGUGCCGACCGUCGGAUUCCAAGCCUCCUCUCCUCCUCCCUCCUCUCCGGCGCCGACCGACCAACCCCGAUCUCUUCCACCUGAGGUAUUUUUCUCCUCCUCCCUCUUCUCCCUCCUUCUCGCUUGUUCUCCUCCUUCUCCGCCUCUUCUUGUUCGUGUGUUCGUGGGUGUUUUUCUCUUUUUUUACAGAUUCUCUAGCUUUGCCUCCGCCCGAGGAUCUCCUCCUCCUCCCUCCUCUCCGGCGCCGUCCGAGCAUCAGCAAAAGAAGUUACGGGCAGCUGGGAGUCGUUGUCCGCCACCGACUCCCGAUUAAGGGGCUGCCGCUUUCAGCAAAAAAAAGAAAAAAAAUAAGGGGCUGCUGCUGGGUACGAGAUCGCGCGGCCCGUGGAACCGCAGGCGGUCAGAUCUGGAUCUCGCUCGGAAGCAGCAGUCCAAAGCGCGUCGUUCGGGCUUCGCCUAUAAAUUGGGGGUUCCUCCUCCCCAACUCCCGUGUCCACUCCGAGGCCGGGAACAAAGCGCCAAAGAUUCUUCUCGCAUCUUACCCCAGAGGGAUGAAGGUGAGCUGGUGAGGUCCGCUGCUGUUCGGUUGGUCAGUAAGUGCGGCCAGAUGUUUGCAGCGAGCAAAGAGAGAACAGCAAACACUGAGAGAAUUGAUGUGAUCUUUGUUCAGGUUUGUACCUACUAUAACUACUCUCACAGGGAGCUUUAGAAGCAUGAGGGCUUGGAUUCCCAAGCACCAAUCAAUGCAACUUAAAAACACAAAAACAACUCAGAUUCAGCAUAUCAAUGGACUUCCCAAAGACUGGGAGGAGAAAAGGAAUAGAGCCUGUCAACUCGUCUCAAGAGUUCCAUACUACAACAAUGUUACAAGGCGAUAUGAACUCGAUUUCAGAGAGAGGGCAGGAAGAACAGGUCCCAGAAUUCAGGCGUUAGCGAAAAAUUUUCAGCUGAUCAUGGAGGAGAAAGGAAGACAAACAAUUCUACAACUUGGUAGGAUUGGGAAGUCGAAGUAUCUAAUGGAUUAUAGAUACCCCUUGACUGGUUACCAAGCAUUUUGCAUUUGUCUGCAGAUUAAUAUCAACUGAUACGGAGGCUUGGGAAAUGGACACGUUGAGAGGGCACACGAGCAAUGUAUCCUGUGUUAUAUUCCAUACGAGGCAAGGCAUCAUUGUGUCCAACUCCGAGGAUAGAAGCAUUUGCAUUUGGGAUGCUACAAAGCGUACCGCUCUUCAGACAUUUCGGCGUGAACACGACCGUUUCUGGAUUCUCGCUGCACAUCCGGAGAUGAAGCAUUUGAGACCCUUCAAGAAUGCUGAUAUAGCUUCGGGGUUGUCCUUCUUGAGCUCUUAAUAGGACGCCGGUAUGUGGACAAGACUCGCCCGAGCAAGCAGCAGAGCUUGGUUGACUGGGCUCGCCCCAAGCUUAAUGACAAUAUUGUAGAGAUGAUGAUGCCGACCCUUGAUACAUAUUGUAGAUUGUGUACUUAGGAAUUUGACUUGUAUGUUUUUAGAAUGUUUUUGAAGUACAAUGUAAUCAAAUAUGAUAAUAUGAAUGCAAUCAAAGUUCUUGUUUGU
Phoenix dactylifera (date palm) is the source of this 1718-nucleotide non-coding RNA. Lineage: Eukaryota; Viridiplantae; Streptophyta; Magnoliopsida; Arecales; Arecaceae. The record is from RefSeq and is a predicted model, not a curated record.